RNAcentral lists this long non-coding RNA (246 nucleotides) under Mustela putorius furo (domestic ferret). Its description in RNAcentral is "lncRNA (ENSMPUG00000027994.1)". The record is from RNAcentral. Lineage: Eukaryota; Metazoa; Chordata; Mammalia; Carnivora; Mustelidae.
CUCGGGUAGCAACUUCUUGGAACUCAUUCUACAUAAUGGAACUCUGGUAGACCGCUGGCCGUCUCUGCUGAAAGCUCCUUCAUAAAAUUCUUUCCAAUCACCGACAACACCAGAAGCACUACUUUGGAACCCAGGAAAAACACUUAAGAAAGAUGCAAUUCAACUUACAAACAAUACAUUUACAACUGAACUUUGGAACGUGUCCAUAGAUGGGAGGUGGAAUGAUUGGCAUAAUUCCUCACAAAC